RNAcentral lists this ribosomal RNA (388 nucleotides) under uncultured bacterium. RNAcentral describes it as "bacterial SSU rRNA". It matches the Rfam family "Bacterial small subunit ribosomal RNA", at positions 507 to 894 of the family's 1533-position model. The record is from RNAcentral.
UUCAGCAGCCGCGGUAAUACGUAGGGGGCAAGCGUUGUCCGGAAUUAUUGGGCGUAAAGCGCGCGCAGGCGGCUUACUAAGUCUGGUGUGAAAGCCCACGGCUCAACCGUGGAGGGCCAUUGGAAACUGGUAAGCUUGAGUGCAGGAGAGGAGAGCGGAAUUCCUGGUGUAGCGGUGAAAUGCGUAGAUAUCAGGAGGAACACCCGUGGCGAAGGCGGCUCUCUGGCCUGUAACUGACGCUGAGGCGCGAAAGCGUGGGGAGCAAACAGGAUUAGAUACCCUGGUAGUCCACGCCGUAAACGAUGAGUGCUAAGUGUCGGGGGUGACCAACCCUCGGUGCUGUCGCUAACGCAAUAAGCACUCCGCCUGGGGAGUACGGCCGCAAGGC